RNAcentral lists this ribosomal RNA (495 nucleotides) under uncultured bacterium. Its description in RNAcentral is "bacterial SSU rRNA". It matches the Rfam family "Bacterial small subunit ribosomal RNA", at positions 903 to 1397 of the family's 1533-position model. The record is from RNAcentral.
AAAUGAAUUGACGGGGACCCGCACAAGCAGUGGAGUAUGUGGUUUAAUUCGAAGCAACGCGAAGAACCUUACCAGGUCUUGACAUCCCUCUGACCGGAUCAGAGAUGGUCCUUUCCUUCGGGACAGAGGAGACAGGUGGUGCAUGGUUGUCGUCAGCUCGUGUCGUGAGAUGUUGGGUUAAGUCCCGCAACGAGCGCAACCCUUGAGUCCAGUUGCCAGCGCGUAAUGGCGGGCACUCUGGACUGACUGCCGGUGACAAACCGGAGGAAGGUGGGGAUGACGUCAAAUCAUCAUGCCCCUUAUGACCUGGGCUACACACGUACUACAAUGGCCGGUACAACGGGCAGCGAAGCGGUGACGCGGAGCGAAUCCUCAAAAGCCGGUCUCAGUUCGGAUUGCAGGCUGCAACUCGCCUGCAUGAAGUCGGAAUUGCUAGUAAUCGCGGAUCAGCAUGCCGCGGUGAAUACGUUCCCGGGUCUUGUACACACCGCCCGU